UAACGAGCGAGAUAUCGCCAAUUAUUUACUUUGCCGAAGUCCUUCGGUUAAAGUUCUAAUUGGGACUCCUGCGAUUUUAGCAGGUGGAAGAGGGUAGCAAUAACAGGUCCGUGAUGCCCUUUAGAUGCUCUGGGCUGCACGCGUGCUACAAUGUUAGGAUCAAUAGGACUGCGAGCCUGAGAGGGUGCGCUACUCUUAUAAUCCCUAACGUAGUUGGGAUUGACGUUUGUAAUCAGCGUCAUGAACCAGGAAUCCCUUGUAAAUGUGUGUCAACAACGCACGUUGAAUACGUCCCUGCCCUUUGUACACACCGCCCGUCGCUCCUACCGAUUGGAUGACUCGGUGAAAUCACCGGAUGCUUACGAGCAGAAAGUGAUUAAAUCACGUUAUCUAGAGGAAGGAGAAGUCGUAACAAGGUAACGGUAGGUGAACCUGCCGUUGGAUCAGUU
This 449-nucleotide non-coding RNA is filed under the name Trichomonas vaginalis G3. RNAcentral's name for it is "Eukaryotic small subunit ribosomal RNA". It matches the Rfam family "Eukaryotic small subunit ribosomal RNA", at positions 1329 to 1831 of the family's 1831-position model. Lineage: Eukaryota; Parabasalia; Trichomonadida; Trichomonadidae. The record is from Rfam by way of RNAcentral.